GCAGGUGGGGACAGUAAAAUCUAGCAGCACUCUAAUUUUAGCAUGUAUCUUUAAUUGUUCAACACAUGACAUAUGACCUCAUAAAUGACUCGCAGGCAUUUGGAGAGUCAACAAAACCAGGAACUUAUUGAAGGGGAAAAAAUGGACCCAGUGCUUUAUGACAACACAUGAAAACAGCAGCCAUUAAAAAAAUAAAAAGCAGCACACACAGACUUUAAUUCUCUGCAUGUCCUGUUUACUUAAAGAAUUCAGAAUGUUUUGACCUUGCUGGUAUUAAUAAACAGCAGAUGGAAGUCCCCUUGUCCACAAAAAACCCUCUGGAAAUGAACUGCAAUGAGAUGAUCUGGCAUGGACGGGGACAGAAAGAGAGAGAGAGACGUUCAUGUCUAUUUUUGGCAUGACAUGAUGUGGAUUGCAUCAGUUCUAUUAGAUAAGCACAGCCGUGUGGACUGCACACAAACUAUCUUCAUCUUAUCUCCCGUGGUCUUCAUCUCUUUCAGAAGCCAGAAGAGAAAAGAUGAGAUGUGACGAGAAGCAGAAAGAAGAGGAAAACCGACGGUGAGAGAAAAGAGAGAGAGUGAUUAAAGGACUCUCGCACAGUGACUGGCCUCAGAAAUGACUGGCACAAUUGGCAAAAAGCAGACGAGGACCAACUUCAGCCGACGGUGCGGAACACACUGAGAAAACUUAGUCGGCAGUCGAAGAAAAACUGCCCGACGGCCGACCGUCGACUUGGUGUGUUCCUGCCUUUAGGUUUCAACACACACAAAAAGAGAAAAAAAAUGUAAAUAAAUAAUGUAAAUUGUUAUAUACUGUAGUAUUAUUAUUUAUUUAUAGCUCCUUAUUAAUCUUAGAUACAAUUCUUGAAUAUUACUUAGAUAUUUAAAUCUAAGGC
Long non-coding RNA from Megalobrama amblycephala (Wuchang bream), 895 nucleotides. RefSeq lists it as uncharacterized. The record is from RefSeq and is a predicted model, not a curated record. The transcript has 3 exons. Lineage: Eukaryota; Metazoa; Chordata; Actinopteri; Cypriniformes; Xenocyprididae.